AGAGUUUGAUCCUGGCUCAGGACGAACGCUGGCGGCGUGCCUAACACAUGCAAGUCAACUUGACGGAAGGAGCAAUCUGACCGUAGAGUGGCGCAAGGGUGCGUAACGCGUAAGUAACUUGCCCCAAGGUAAGGAAUAACGUCGAGAAAUCGGCGCUAAUACCUCAUAAUGCAGCGGAUCCGCAUGGAUAUGUUGUUAAAGGUUUACCGCCUUGGGAUAGGCUUGCGUCUGAUUAGCUAGUUGGUGUGGUAACGGCACACCAAGGCUACGAUCAGUAACUGGUCUGAGAGGAUGAUCAGUCACACUGGAACUGAGACACGGUCCAGACUCCUACGGGAGGCAGCAGUGAGGAAUAUUGGGCAAUGCUCGAAAGAGUGACCCAGCAACGCCGCGUGGAGGAUGAAGGUAUUCUAUAUCGUAAACUCCUGUGAGAGCAGACGAAAGACAGAUUAUUAAUCUGGAUGACUGUAUGCUCAGAGGAAGCCCCGGCUAACUACGUGCCAGCAGCCGCGGUAAUACGUAGGGGGCAAGCGUUGUCCGGAUUCACUGGGUGUAAAGGGCGCGUAGGCGGGAUAGCAAGUCAGUGGUGAAAUCUUGCAGCUCAACUGCAAAACUGCCAUUGAUACUGCUGUUCUUGAAUGUGGAAGAGAGAGGCGGAAUUCCAGGUGUAGUAGUGAAAUACGUAGAUAUCUGGAAGAACACCAAUUGCGAAGGCUGCUUCUUGGUCCAUUAUUGACGCUGAGGCGCGAAAGCGUGGGGAGCAAACAGGAUUAGAUACCCUGGUAGUCCACGCUGUAAACGAUGAGUGCUAGAUGCCGGAUUUUUUCGGUGCCGCAGCUAACGCAUUAAGCACUCCACCUGGGAAGUACGAUCGCAAGGUUGAAACUCAAAGGAAUUGACGGGGGCCCGCACAAGCAGUGGAGCAUGUGGUUUAAUUCGACGCAACGCGAAGAACCUUACCUGGGUUUGACAUCCCGAUCGUACCUUAUGGAAACAUAGGGUCAGUUCGCUGGAUCGGUGACAGUGCUGCAUGCUGUCGUCAGCUCGUGUCGUGAGAUGUGGUAGUCCCGCACGAGCGCACCCUUGUCUAGCUGCCACCAUCAGUGGCACCUCUAGAGACUGCGGUGUAACGAAGAAGGUGGAUGACGU
RNAcentral lists this ribosomal RNA (1149 nucleotides) under denitrifying bacterium enrichment culture clone NOB_3_B3. Its description in RNAcentral is "bacterial SSU rRNA". It matches the Rfam family "Bacterial small subunit ribosomal RNA", at positions 8 to 1185 of the family's 1533-position model. The record is from RNAcentral.